AGAGUUUGAUCCUGGCUCAGAUUGAACGCUGGCGGCAGGCUUAACACAUGCAAGUCGAACGGGCGUCGCAAGACGUCAGUGGCAGACGGGUGAGUAACGCGUGGGAACAUACCCUCCGGUUCGGAAUAACCCAGGGAAACUUGGGCUAAUACCGGAUACGGCUGAGAGGCGAAAGAUUUAUCGCCGGAGGAUUGGCCCGC
Molecule: ribosomal RNA, 200 nt
Filed under: uncultured bacterium
Lineage: Bacteria
Description: partial 16S ribosomal RNA
Rfam family: Bacterial small subunit ribosomal RNA
Source: RNAcentral